Molecule: ribosomal RNA, 1342 nt
Filed under: uncultured marine bacterium
Lineage: Bacteria
Description: bacterial SSU rRNA
Rfam family: Bacterial small subunit ribosomal RNA
Source: RNAcentral
GAGUUUGAUCCUGGCUCAGAACGUACGCUGGCGGCACGCCUAACACAUGCAAGUCGAACGAAGUAGCAAUACUUAGUGGCAGACGGGUGAGUAACAUGUAGGUAUCUACCCUUUGGCCUGGAAUAACACGAGGAAACUUGUGCUAAUACCGGAUAAGUCUUUACGGAGAAAGCUUUAUGCACCAUUGGAUGAGCCUGCACUUGAUUAGUUUGUUGGUGGGGUAAUGGCCUACCAAGACUGUGAUCAAUAGCUGAUUUGAGAGGAUGAUCAGCCACAUUGGGACUGAGACACGGCCCAAACCCCUACGGGAGGCAGCAGUGGGGAAUCUUGCACAAUGGAGGAAACUCUGAUGCAGCGAUGCCGCGUGAGUGAAGAAGGCCCUGGGGUUGUAAAGCUCUUUCGUCGGGGAAGAAAAUGACUGUACCCGAAUAAGAAGGUCCGGCUAACUUCGUGCCAGCAGCCGCGGUAAUACGAAGGGACCUAGCGUAGUUCGGAAUUACUGGGCUUAAAGAGUUCGUAGGUGGUUGAAAAAGUUGGUGGUGAAAUCCCAGAGCUUAACUCUGGAACUGCCAUCAAAACUUUUCAGCUAGAGUAUGAUAGAGGAAAGCAGAAUUUCUAGUGUAGAGGUGAAAUUCGUAGAUAUUAGAAAGAAUACCAAUUGCGAAGGCAGCUUUCUGGAUCAUUACUGACACUGAGGAACGAAAGCAUGGGUAGCGAAGAGGAUUAGAUACCCUCGUAGUCCAUGCCGUAAACGAUGUGUGUUAGACGUUGGAAAUUUAUUUUCAGUGUCGCAGCAAAAGCGAUAAACACACCGCCUGGGGAGUACGACCGCAAGGUUAAAACUCAAAUGAAUUGACGGGGACCCGCACAAGUAGUGGAGCAUGUGGUUUAAUUCGAAGAUACGCGCAGAACCUUACCAACACUUGACAUGUUCGUCGCGACUCUAAGAGAUUAGAGUUUUCGGUUCGGCCGGACGAAACACAGGUGCUGCAUGGCUGUCGUCAGCUCGUGUCGUGAGAUGUUGGGUUAAGUCCCGCAACGAGCGCAACCCUCACUUUUAGUUGCCAUUAUUAAGUUGGGCACUCUGAAAGAACUGCCAGUGAUAAGCUGGAGGAAGGUGGGGAUGACGUCAAGUCCUCAUGGCCCUUACGUGUUGGGCUACACACGUGCUACAAUGGUAUCUACAACAGGAAGCAAAACGGCGACGUUAAGCAAAUCCCUAAAAGAUACCUCAGUUCGGAUUGCACUCUACAACUCGAGUGCAUGAAGCUGGAAUUACUAGUAAUCGUGGAUCAGCGUGCCACGGUGAAUGCGUUCCCGGGUCUUGCACUCACCGCCCGUC